Molecule: ribosomal RNA, 446 nt
Filed under: uncultured bacterium
Lineage: Bacteria
Description: bacterial SSU rRNA
Rfam family: Bacterial small subunit ribosomal RNA
Source: RNAcentral
CGCCAGACUCCUACGGGAGGCAGCAGUGGGGGAUAUUGCACAAUGGGGGAAACCCUGAUGCAGCGACGCCGCGUGUGGGAAGACGGUCCUCUGGAUUGUAAACCACUGUCCCCAGGGACGAAGAUGACGGUACCUGGGGAGGAAGCUCCGGCUAACUACGUGCCAGCAGCCGCGGUAAUACGUAGGGAGCAAGCGUUGUCCGGAAUUACUGGGUGUAAAGGGAGCGUAGGCGGGAUGGCAAGUUGGGUGUUAAAUCUACCGGCUCAACUGGUAGUCGCACUCAAAACUGCUAUUCUUGAGUGAAGUAGAGGCAGGCGGAAUUCCUAGUGUAGCGGUGAAAUGCGUAGAUAUCAGGAGGAACACCGGUGGCGAAGGCGGCCUGCUGGACUGCGACUGACGUUGAGGCCCGAAAGCGUGGGGAGCAAACAGGAUUAGAUACCCCUGUA